GAGAGAGAGAGAGAGAGACAGGAAGAGAGACAGGAAGAGAGAGAGAAAGUGUGUGAGAGAGAGUGUAAUAGAGAGAAAGAGAUGCAAAAAGAAAGAAAAGGCUAGUGGAAGGUAGGAGGACACAAUCGACAUCACUAUCUGCUGAGAACAUUGGGUGACACAAGGAGAUGCUGGUCCUGUACUGAUUUAAUAUGCUACCAACAGCUGUUUGUAUGUUCUUCACUUCGCCAGAAGUCACAUAAGCCUAGAGGUGAGUGGGUGCUGUUUUCUAAGGACACAGGCAGGAUAAGCGCAGUGGACAGAGCUGUAUGGUGG
Molecule: long non-coding RNA, 315 nt
Organism: Silurus meridionalis
Lineage: Eukaryota; Metazoa; Chordata; Actinopteri; Siluriformes; Siluridae
Exons: 4
Source: RefSeq, a predicted model, not a curated record